AACGAACGCUGGCGGCAUGCCUAACACAUGCAAGUCGAACGAGACCUUCGGGUCUAGUGGCGCACGGGUGCGUAACGCGUGGGAACCUUCCCUUAGGUUCGGAAUAACUCCCCGAAAGGGGUGCUAAUACCGGAUCAUGUCUUCGGACCAAAGAUUUAUCGCCUUUGGAUGGGCCCGCGUUGGAUUAGCUAGUUGGUAGGGUAAAAGCCUACCAAGGCGACGAUCCAUAGCUGGUCUGAGAGGAUGAUCAGCCACACUGGGACUGAGACACGGCCCAGACUCCUACGGGAGGCAGCAGUGGGGAAUAUUGGACAAUGGGCGAAAGCCUGAUCCAGCAAUGCCGCGUGAGUGAUGAAGGCCUUAGGGUUGUAAAGCUCUUUUACCCGGGAUGAUAAUGACAGUACCGGGAGAAUAAGCUCCGGCUAACUCCGUG
Molecule: ribosomal RNA, 433 nt
Filed under: uncultured bacterium
Lineage: Bacteria
Description: partial 16S ribosomal RNA
Rfam family: Bacterial small subunit ribosomal RNA
Source: RNAcentral